This 441-nucleotide ribosomal RNA is filed under the name uncultured bacterium. RNAcentral's name for it is "partial 16S ribosomal RNA". It matches the Rfam family "Bacterial small subunit ribosomal RNA", at positions 338 to 795 of the family's 1533-position model. The record is from RNAcentral.
CCUACGGGUGGCAGCAGUGGGGAAUAUUGCACAAUGGGGGCAACCCUGAUGCAGCAACGCCGCGUGGGUGAAGGAGCGUUUCGGCGCGUAAAGCCCUGUCAGCGGGGAAGAAGAAAGACGGUACCCGCCCAAGAAGCCCCGGCUAACUACGUGCCAGCAGCCGCGGUAAUACGUAGGGGGCGAGCGUUAUCCGGAAUUACUGGGUGUAAAGCGCUCGUAGGCGGUAUGUCAAGUCAAGGGUGAAAUCCCCGCGCUCAACGUGGGAACUGCCUUUGAAACUGGCAAACUGGAGUGUGUGAGAGGAUAGUGGAAUUCCAGGUGUAGGAGUGAAAUGCGUAGAUAUCUGGAGGAACAUCAGUGGCGAAGGCGACUAUCUGGCACAUAACUGACGCUGAGGAGCGAAAGCGUGGGUAGCAAACAGGAUUAGAUACCCUAGUAGUC